CUUNNNGGGGYGSUGCCAGUAGGGAAUCUUCCGCAAUGGACGAAAGUCUGACGGAGCAACGCCGCGUGAGUGAUGAAGGUUUUCGGAUCGUAAAGCUCUGUUGUUAGGGAAGAACAAGUACCGUUCGAAUAGGGCGGUACCUUGACGGUACCUAACCAGAAAGCCACGGCUAACUACGUGCCAGCAGCCGCGGUAAUACGUAGGUGGCAAGCGUUGUCCGGAAUUAUUGGGCGUAAAGGGCUCGCAGGCGGUUUCUUAAGUCUGAUGUGAAAGCCCCCGGCUCAACCGGGGAGGGUCAUUGGAAACUGGGGAACUUGAGUGCAGAAGAGGAGAGUGGAAUUCCACGUGUAGCGGUGAAAUGCGUAGAGAUGUGGAGGAACACCAGUGGCGAAGGCGACUCUCUGGUCUGUAACUGACGCUGAGGAGCGAAAGCGUGGGGAGCGAACAGGAUUAGAUACCCCC
Molecule: ribosomal RNA, 462 nt
Filed under: Bacillus inaquosorum
Lineage: Bacteria; Bacillati; Bacillota; Bacilli; Caryophanales; Bacillaceae
Description: bacterial SSU rRNA
Source: RNAcentral